Molecule: ribosomal RNA, 980 nt
Filed under: Escherichia coli
Lineage: Bacteria; Pseudomonadati; Pseudomonadota; Gammaproteobacteria; Enterobacterales; Enterobacteriaceae
Description: bacterial SSU rRNA
Rfam family: Bacterial small subunit ribosomal RNA
Source: RNAcentral
AGUUUGAUCAUGGCUCAGAUUGAACGCUGGCGGCAGGCCUAACACAUGCAAGUCGAACGGUAACAGGAAGCAGCUUGCUGCUUUGCUGACGAGUGGCGGACGGGUGAGUAAUGUCUGGGAAACUGCCUGAUGGAGGGGGAUAACUACUGGAAACGGUAGCUAAUACCGCAUAACGUCGCAAGCACAAAGAGGGGGACCUUAGGGCCUCUUGCCAUCGGAUGUGCCCAGAUGGGAUUAGCUAGUAGGUGGGGUAACGGCUCACCUAGGCGACGAUCCCUAGCUGGUCUGAGAGGAUGACCAGCAACACUGGAACUGAGACACGGUCCAGACUCCUACGCGAGGCAGCAGUGGGGAAUAUUGCACAAUGGGCGCAAGCCUGAUGCAGCCAUGCNGCGUGUAUGAAGAAGGCCUUCGGGUUGUAAAGUACUUUCAGCGGGGAGGAAGGGAGUAAAGUUAAUACCUUUGCUCAUUGACGUUACCCGCAGAAGAAGCACCGGCUAACUCCGUGCCAGCAGCCGCGGUAAUACGGAGGGUGCAAGCGUUAAUCGGAAUUACUGGGCGUAAAGCGCACGCAGGCGGUUUGUUAAGUCAGAUGUGAAAUCCCCGGGCUCAACCUGGGAACUGCAUCUGAUACUGGCAAGCUUGAGUCUCGUAGAGGGGGGUAGAAUUCCAGGUGUAGCGGUGAAAUGCGUAGAGAUCUGGAGGAAUACCGGUGGCGAAGGCGGCCCCCUGGACGAAGACUGACGCUCAGGUGCGAAAGCGUGGGGAGCAAACAGGAUUAGAUACCCAGGUAGUCCACGCCGUAAACGAUGUCGACUUGGAGGUUGUGCCCUUGAGGCGUGGCUUCCGGANNUAACGCGUUAAGUCGACCGCCUGGGGAGUACGGCCGCAAGGUUAAAACUCAAAUGAAUUGACGGGGGCCGCACAAGCGGUGGAGCAUGUGGUUUAAUUCGAUGCAACGCGAAGAACCUUACCUGGUC